RNAcentral lists this transfer RNA (72 nucleotides) under Nanobdellota archaeon. RNAcentral describes it as "tRNA-Val". It matches the Rfam family "tRNA". From Rfam's summary of the family: Transfer RNA (tRNA) molecules are approximately 80 nucleotides in length. Their secondary structure includes four short double-helical elements and three loops (D, anti-codon, and T loops). Lineage: Archaea; Nanobdellati; Nanobdellota. The record is from RNAcentral.
GGGCCGGUGGUCCAACGGUAAGACGCCACCCUUACUUGGUGGAGACUCUGGGUUCAAGUCCCAGCCGGUCCA